GACGAACGCUGGCGGCGUGCCUAAUGCAUGCAAGUCGCACGCGGCACCUUCGGGUGCUGCGUGGCGACCGGCUGAGGAACACGUGGGGACCUGUCCGGGAGUGGGGGACAACACUGCGAAAGCGGUGCUAAUCCCGCAUAAGCUCUGAGGAGGAACGCCGAAAGGCGCUCCCGGGUGGGCCUGCGACCCCUCAGGUUGUUGGUGAGGUAACGGCCAACCAAGCCAAUGACGGGUCGCCGGUCUGUGGGGACGACCAGCCAGACUGGGACUGGGACACGGCCCAGACUCCGACGGGAGGCAGCAGCAAGAAAUUUUCAGCAAUGGGCGCAAGCCGGACCAAGCAACGGCGCGUGCAGAAAGACGGCCUGCGGGUAGUAAACUGCUUUUGCUAGGGAGGAUAACAGACAGUACCGGGCGAAUCAGCCCCGGCUAACUCUGUG
RNAcentral lists this ribosomal RNA (440 nucleotides) under uncultured bacterium. Its description in RNAcentral is "partial 16S ribosomal RNA". It matches the Rfam family "Bacterial small subunit ribosomal RNA", at positions 28 to 507 of the family's 1533-position model. The record is from RNAcentral.